UUGAAGAUCUACCAAUGCAAGUGUAAGAACUUUAGUAUCUACUAGUGGGAAUGUAAACAAGAUUUAGAGUUGAAGGUCUAUUGCCAUAGGUAUAAACGAGAUUUAAAGAGGUUUAAGGUCUACAAAUGCAAGUGUAAAUGGGCUUUAAGGAAUUUUUGGAUGUACAAGUAUGAAUGUGAAUCAAGCUUAGGGUCCAAAGUAUAUGACUAAAGUUUGGAAAUUACAAGUGUGACUAAGGGUUUAAGAUUUAAGAUCUAUAAGUACAAGUGUAAACGGACUUAAAGGAUUUAAGGCCCAAAAAUAAAAUCUAUCAAACACACAUGAAUUUACACCUUGCACUAAUGAUUUGUAAGUGCAAAGCCUAUGAAAUGUAUUAAACAUGGAUAUGCCAAUUUGCAUUAUAUUAUCAAAUAAAGUGGCCAGAUUUAGGAUUUAGGAUUUAAAAUAAAAUGAUUUAAGAUUUAAGAUCUAGAAUUAUAUGUAUAUUCUUUAAAAAAAUCACCUACUUAUUUUGGAAUUUUGAAUUAACCUAUCUUUUUUUUUUAAAGAUUGUGGUUUCAAUGAUGCAAUUUAAUUUUAUUUAUGCUUCUUUCAUUUAAUACAUAUACAUUCUUUGAUUUUUAGAUACUAUUUUUUCUUUUCUUUUCUUUUCUGUUUUUUUUUUAUUUUUAAUAAAGAAUUUUAAUAUUUUGAUGAAAUUUAUUCCCAUACUUUGGAAUGUUGUGAAUCUAAUGGUAUAUUUAGUUUUCCUAAAAAAUAUAUAAUUUAGAUAUUAUAGAGGUUUUAAAAGUGAACUUAAGGAUCAAUAAAUUCUUAUGUUUUUGGAAUUUUGGAAUUUAGAGGUGACCUAUCCUCCCAUUAUCAAGGAUUUUGAUUCCAAUGGAGUAAAAUCAUUUAUUUAUGCUAUUUCUAUUUAAAAGAUAUAAAGAAUUUGAGUUUUUAGGAUUUAGAGUUGAUUUUAGAAUCUUAAGAUUUAAAAUUUAAGAUCUAUAAUAAUAAAUUUAUAAUUUAACAUUAAUUUAUUAUAUACAAUUACAAACACCUUGAAAAAUCCUUCAUAUUAGAUUCAAAAAUCAAAACAAUCCAACAAGAAUUGCACUCAAAUUCAACAAUCAAAGAUUUGACUUUCUUAAAAUAAAUUUGAAAAAUAUUUAUGCUCAUAUCUAGAGAUUUAUGAAAAAUCCCACAAAUAUACUAAUCACUAUUGAAAUUACUUUAAAAAAUCAAUUGCAUUAGACUCAAAGAUUUUAAAAAUUAAAUCAUAUUUGCAUACAUAAUCAAUAAUCAAAGAAUUGGCUUUCUUUAAAUAAAUUUGCCACACAUUUUUGCUCAUAGCUAGAGAUUUAUUAAAAAAAACCCACAAACGUGCUAUAUACCAUUAGAAUUGCCUUGAAACAUCAAUCAUAUUAGACUCAAAAUUUGCUAAAAUUGAAUCAAAGUUGCUUAUGAAAUCAAUAAUCAAAGUUUUGGCUUUCUUAAAAAAUACUUGUGACACAUUUUUGCUUAGAGAUUAAUACAAUACCCACAAAUAUGCUAUAUACAAUUACAAUCACCUUGAAAAAUUAGUCAUAAUAAACUAGGUUUUAAAAUUUAGGGUUUAGAGUUACAUGUGUGUUUUUAGAUUUAAGUUUUAGGAUUUAGAAUUACAUGUGUAUUUCUAAGUUUAGGAUUUAGGAUUUAGGGUUUAGUAUUUAAGAUGUCUCAUUACAAAAAUGUCAAAAGUUUGAAAUAUACAUAAAGUUCUAAUUAUUAAACUUUAAAUCUUAAAAAAUAUCUAUCAAGUGGAUUGUAUAUAUUCUCUCCAAUUAGUCAUGUAGAGGUCAAUAUAGUGUCGAGCAACGCCCAUAAAAUCUAUGUAAAUUUUGUUCUUUAGCAAAUAUCCACAACCAUUAGUCAGAGUUAGGUUUAAGAUUUAGAGUUAAAUGUGUGUUUUCAAAAAAUUUACAUACUUUUUUUGGAAAUUUUGAAUUUAUCCACCCUCCCUAUUUUUAAAAGUUGUGGUUCCAAUGGUGCAAUUAACUUUACUUAUGCUUUUAUCAUUUGAUAGAUAAAAACACUUUGAUUUUGAGAUGUAGAGUUGACUUCUAUUUUUGAUGAAGAAUUUCAAUAUUUUGAAGAGACUUACUCUCCUAUUUUGAAAUGUUGUGAAUUUAGUGGUGUAUUCAAUUUUUCAAAGAAUAUAUGAUUUGGAUGAUAUGGAGGUUUUAAAAAGAAAUUUUAAAAUUGAUAAAUUCUUAUAUUUUUGGAAUUUUAGAAUUUAGAGGUGACCUAUCCUCCCAUUAUCAAAGGUUGUGAUUCUAAUGGAGUAAAAAAAUUUACUUAUGCUAUUUCUAUUUGAAUGAUAUAAAAAAAAAUUAAAAAUUAAAAACUAAAAAUUGUUCAAAUUGUAUUAGCUUUAUAACUCAAACUGUAAUAUAAACUAUGCAUCUUCCCUUUCCCUCUAGAUUUUGUUAGCAUACUCCAACCUCUCUUUCUAUCUUCUCCAUCAACCCUCUAUUGUACUUUAACCUAUUCCAACUUCCAUUGUACUUUUUCUCUCCAUGCCUCUUUAUUGAUUAAACACUUGAUGGAAUUUUUCUCCCCAUGCUUUUCCUUGUUGAUUGAUUGCAUUGGUUUUUUUCUCCCCAUGCUUUUUUUUUAACCAAAGCAUUUAGAUUUUCUUUUCCAUCUCCUUUCUUACUAAAUGCUUUGGUUUCUUCUUCCAUGUUUUCUUUUUCAUACAUUUAUUUUUACAAAUUUAACCUUGCUCUCACAAAAUAAUUUAUCUACAGAAAGAAAAUUGAGAAUCUAAGUGGAUAUAUGAAAGAAACUUCAAGUUUAGGUGAAAUUUAAACAUUAGCAGGGGAGAAAAUAAUAAUAAUAAUAAUAAUAAAUAUUUACAUAUAUAUAUAUAUAUAUAUAUAUAUAAAACAGAAAAAGAAAAAAGAAAAACAAAAAACAAAACAAAAGAAUUCAAAUCUCAUGUACACAUCACUCUAAUUGCCAAGCCACGAAAAUCCAACUAAUUAAACACUUCACACCAUGGCAUUGGUUUAGAUUCAAAAUCCACCAUACCCAUCUAAGCAACCUAUGGCUACAUGAUUUGGCACUACUAAUGAAACUUGUAGACAAGAAAAAUGACCAAUUGGAACCACCUACUAGCCUCAUGUAUUGAAUGACAAGAUGAUGCAAUAUGUACACCCAAGAUUUGUGAUUAUCACCACACCUCCUCCCCCUCUUCUCUUACUUGACUUUUACCUUUCUCCCUCCCAUAUUCUAUAUUACAAAUCCAUAUUUUGUAAUACACUGUUGAUUUUACUUAGUGUACUGCUAAGCAACUUCCCCUCACUGGACUUCAACAUAACAGUUGACAAUAGAAGUCACAAUCCAAUCUUUUAUUUAAAAGUACAUCCAACGUCCCCUCUGCACAUCAUGUUUUAUCAAUGUAUGUCUUUGAGACCAAAAAAUAGUGCACGCCUACCUGCCUGCUGGCAUCAAUUUCUACAGAUACAUAUAACCCUUCAGCAACAGAUACACAUAACCAGUCAGAAUCUGUCAGCUGGUUCAAAUUGGACCUAGUCGAGCAUGGAUGCAAAUGCAUAAUUCACGAUCUCUCUGUUUCUAGACACGCCGCAAAGUAUCAAGCGCACGAUAGCACUCUCCAAAUGGAGAGUUGACCCUGCUCUGAUGCCAUUAACACGAUACUUCUAGCUGUAACAAGAUAAGUGAACGUUCCUUGGACAAGGGCUUGCCUUGCAUUUAACAAGGCAGAAUAUAAGGAUAUCUUGCAUCAUUUGCUUCUUCCCCCGCUGCUCCACCAUGUGUGAAAAAAAGACGCUUUAAGCGCACGCGCUCUGCCUCCUGUAACUUCUUGUUGCUGGUAAUACACGAGAAGCCAAAAUCCAGGAUGCGGACAGUAGGCUUCUUUCCCCACACAACCAUAAUGUUACUUAAGGAAACAUCUCCAUGAAGCAACCCGCAUGCAUGGACUGCAGCAAGCGCUUCAAGCGCUGCAGUCUCCACCUCCCGGGUCACCGCCACUGAAACAUAAUCACCACAAAAGGCAAAUAAAUGACAACUCUGCCAGCAGAUUGCAGGUGGUCAAAGGUAUUGGCCCUUCAAAAAAACACACUUCAUAGAAUCACCAUGCCCAGGCUACGAGAAACCCUCAAGACCAGAAUACGGAGAGUAGGAUGCUCCGCAUCUGAGAGUUUUGCAAGAAAUCCUACCUUCUCCAAGCUCAACACCGUCAAUCAAUUCAGUUGCGAUAAAUACAACCCGACCGUUAUUUGUGGUUCCAUAUCCUAUUAAUCGAGGAACAAAAACCCCCCAAAGCUUCUCCAUCCUCGUAUAGGCAACCACCUCCUUCAGGAGAGCCUGCACAAGCGCGGCCAAAGAUGGGCUGGGCAGAGUCAGAUCACAAACAGGUAAGUGCCGCAAACUGCACGUGCACUUGAACACCAGCAUGCUCCACGUUGCAUCUACCAAAGACUACCUGUCAGUAAAGAUGUCACAAACAGGACCUCUCCUCCUCAGUCCCCGGAUUAGAUGAAGUAGCAGCCACUGUGAGAUGUGAACGCAACAUUUCCACAUGACACAACUCCGGCUCACCUCCGCACGUUCCGUGCCUAAGUGGGCAAACUUCAAUGCAACAGGUUGGCCACGCAAACGGCCAUUAACAACGCAUCCACUCCACCCCUCACUACUUAUGACACCGCCCGCCUUUUUCAGGUUCAGGUCCUCCGCGGGGACAUCUUCCAAAGCCAGCUGCGCCCCACCCGAGCUAUGUCUUUCAGACCUGCAAAUGCAGUUGCUGUCAUUUCACCAUUUGCUCUCGACUACGUGUCCGACUUCAUGGAACAAACUUGAAUAGCUGGCUGGACAAGUUACCUUCGUUUUCCAGAGGAAGAGAUAUUUUGGCUCACACGUGCUGUAAAGGUUCGAUCAUUGAUGUCGUCAUCACUGCUUUCGUCGGAAUGUUCAGAGGGGGCAGCUUCAUGAACUAAGGGAAAUUGGCCAUUCCCCGUUGGGUCACCAAACUCAGAGUUAUCCACUGCAGCAGCGUGCACCAAAUAUGACAACGCAGCGAGCACACGCGGGGGCUCAGCACUCGCCGUAAUACCAGCUGAUAUUUUGAGGCAGCCGGCAUUAUCCCGUUUGAAGAGAUACCAAUUUCUUGCAUCGGUUAGAACACCGUAACCCACCUUACACCUGCAACUCAGAGCAAAGGGAUAGCAAAAUGAGAACUGCCACGCAUUCCAUGUCGUUUUGCCAAACGUAGAUCGGGAAACCAAGACGGUACGAGAAAAUCCCACUGGCAGGACGAAGGGAGGAUACAAGUAAGAAGAAGAGAACAAGAUCAUCUUAAGUGAGUCAACAUAGAACCAGGAUCAACAGGCAGUAGAAUGCAGCUUGUUAGAAAAAGGGUUUCCUGUUUAUUGGGAUCGGAAAAGGCAAAGGCCAAGCACGUAAACGCUGAGCUCCAAGCGAAUCUAGCCAAGAGGAAAAACUACCGAGAUAAUCAGGGGUUCAAAAGAAGCUUACAGAACCAUGUACUCAUACAACUGACUAAUACAGCGGGUGAUCCUUUCACCUUGAGAUGGCGUGAUGCCAAAAACGGCGAACCCGCACCUGCCCUCUCCUGCGAUUAUUGGAACCUCUGUCAGAAUGCUUGCAACAAUGUAAGAAUUGGAACACACUAUGAAAAUAUGGGAUAGGGCCAGAUAGAACCUGAUGUGCAAGAGCAGUCUGUCCAAAAUCGGUGGAGAAACCAGGGGUCAUCUCCGUCACUUCCCAGACCUUCAUUCUUGACCUCGAAGACCAAAGCAUUCUUCUCCUUUAAAGUGAUUACGAAAUCUGCUCUAGGGCUUCCGGAAUAAACGUCAACCAUGGCACUUGAACUCGCACCCUCACUCGAUCCUAUCCCGUCAUUUCCGCCUUUUCUCUUGCUGAAGAUUAUGUAUUCUCGCUUGAAGAAAAAGUUAGACUGCGGCUCCUUCUUCUGCAUAAAAGGUACCAUUUCCCCCAGGAUAAAAUCGAUAUGUGGAAUCUCAUUCUUCUCUAUCAGCCUAGUGUCCUGAGUGACAGCGGUGACAGCCAUUCGAAACACACGCCUCCUUCUAUCUGCGCUUUCUAGAAAUUCUUCGAUCUCGUUCAUUACAUCCCAAUGCUCUACUCUGACAGGUAACCACAUCCGUGCAUGGCUCGAGCUGCUUGGGUAAACGCCAGCCCGUGAAGAGCGAGUCGGCGGCACGACCUUCUGCACCAGCCACUCAUAUUCUGUGCCCAGGUCUGCAUGCACAACACAAUCUAAGAUUGAACUUGAUAUACACGCACCUUCACAAGCGUCACCGUUCCGAGGAGGAUCCAAACAGGUUCUAGGACAACCCUAUGGACGGAUCGCCUCCAAACGACCCACAAUAAAGAGUAAACAUAACCCAGAACACCUAGUUCGGCAACAAAGAACCGGCUACGGUACAAUCGAGGUCAAUGAAGUAAACUAUCCAAUCCUAUGCCACGACCAUGAAAUUAAACUUCCCCCAGUAAUCCGGCAGCCCCCCGGAAACCUUAAAAGACAAAGAACCUGAGGAGAUGGGCCUUCAAUGACAAGUGACGGGUGAUAGGAGUGACCUCGUCGUUGCAGGAUUUGCGCUUUCUCGUCCCGGAGUUGCGCUUUCUCGUCACGGAGUUGCGCUUCCUUGCCGCGCAGUAGCGCUUCCUUGCCCCACAGUAGCUUCCUCUCCUCAUCGCCAGGGCAUCUGUUGAUCUCCUCUUCCAAUCUUCCUAUCUUCUCUUCCACUAUUCUUAUCUGCUCGUGCACGCUUUGAAUCUGGUCGUUCAAGUCUCGUAUCUGGCCAUCCACGCUUCGUAUCUGCUCUUCCGAAUUUCCACCACCGUCAGCCAUUCUUCUCCACGACCCAAUUCAAUAAGCAACCAACGAGGCGAGCCCGAUCUGAGGAACACGACCCCCUAUACCCCCAGACGAUGAUUUCUCCACGCUACUCUCAGAGCACAAGUCGUCAUCACCGUUUCCACCAACUUCAAGACCCUUUGCACCAGCAUCCAUGUGCAGCAAACUUAUCUAUAUCAACGUCCAGAAUGUCCACCGGCAUAAAUGUCCAGCACCUCACGUCCCAAUCGUCAGAAAGAAGUCGCUGAGUUGAAGCAAAUGAGACGAAGUAGACCCUAACUCGAAACCUCGACGAGCACCCCGAUACCCAGAUCAAAACUGUCCAAUACCCACCUAAACCGAAUCCCAAACCACGUUCAAACUAUCACCUAGCCAAACCAGUCCUAAAGUAGGUACCGUAUCUUGGAACGCCCGUUAUUGCAUUGGUAAAAAGCUGGGCUCGAUUUUUACGUGUUGAGGUUACAGGGAGUCUGUGUUUUUGAAGUUUUGUGAGGAUCCAUUAUAAAAUACAACUCGGGAGAAGAAUGUGGAGGUGAUGUAUGCACAAAAGUAGUUGAUGUUGAAUUUUACACUAUAUCUAUAUGGUUAGAUUUGCUAUUGCUAUCACCAAUAUUUUAAUAAAAAUUUGAAACAUAAAAUAAAAAUUAUUUCUAAAUUUCCAUUACAAAUAAAGAAUAGGCCAACUUUGCAUGAAAUUUGUUUGAAUGGAGUUGAAAUGCAACAUUCUCAAUGUGGUGAUUAAUUGGAAUUUUCAUUCUGCAUAAAUAACAACUCGUUUUUACUUAUGAACUCACUUGUUGAAUCAAAUUGUCACAUACUUUUAUUCUCAUAGUCCUACUGAAUAUUUUUAUUUUUCAUUCCACUAAUGACAAAAGAUUGUGGUAAUUUUUUACUUUUAUUUUUACAUUAGUGUGAUGAAAUUUGUCUAUAUAGAUCACUUUGUAUGUUAGUAAUUGGUAGGUAUAUAUAUAUAUAUAUAUAUAUAUAUUUUUAAAUUGAUGGUAAAUUUUCUAAUUGUAAUGGUGCUAUUAUAAGCCAAAAUUAUCAAGAACAUGAAUCUCAAAGAAUUGAAAGAUCAAGACACUCUUGUAUCACUCAAACUGACUAGACAAUAACUCAAAGAUUGUAUAAUAUUAAAAUAGAAUAGCUAUCACCAAAAACAAGAAGAUUGGAAAGUCUUGAAAUAAGACUAAGGACUAGAAAGAAAUUGAUAAGAGUGAAGAAGGCUUCACUCUUGCCACUAUGUAUUCUAUCUAACUAAGAGCUACAUGACAACAUUAUAUAAGACCUUUGACAUGUGUUCAAAUUGCGAGACAUAUGUCUUAACUUCUAAGAGAAGUUUUCUAUAUGUGCACCACAUAGUUAGCUUGUUCCACAACCUACCAACAUAUGUCACAAUUGGCUAACUUGUUGACUAAGUUUCUAACCUACAAACGCGUAUAAAAUUAAAGCCGCAUCUUUGAAGCUUUUCUAGAAGAUUUUAUGAAAUUAAUCUAUUUUUAUCUACUUCUAUUUAAUUACAUAGGUAAUUAUUGGAAUAAAUAUAUAGAUAUAUAUUUAUAUAUAUAUAUAUAGAUAUAUAUUUAUAUAUCCAUGAUAAUAUCUUUCUUCUAAGGAUAAAUUCCAUAAAGAGUUGUCACCAUAGAUUAAAAAAUUUUAAGUUGUAGAAAAUCAUGUUUGGUAGAUAGUUUGAUCUUUGUUGUUUUUGAAGAUUGUUGAUAGGUCAUCUCAACUAUUGAUAAUAUUUCAAACUAGCGUGAAAAGACUACCUUGUUAUUUGAUCAUUGUCAAGGCCUUCAUAAAUUCUUUCAAAAAAAAAACAUUUGAAAUAUUGUUAUGAGACUUUCCUAUCUCUAAUAUAAUCACCAAACAUUGGAAGUCACUUCCAAGGUCAUGAUACCAAACACAUUGUAUCUUACCAUCUAUUCAAAGAAAAACAACUCAUUCUUUAGGAUCUUCAAUUUGAUUGCGUCAUCUUAAAAGUUGUACCAAUUGUAAUAUCUAAUCUAGUAAGUGAAUAAAUAAUAGUUCUUGAAUUGAAUUUGCUUGUUGUUGAUUCUCUAUCUCCUUAGUGCCACAAUUAUAAAAAAUUAGAAACAAAGAUAAAAGUUAGAAUGCUAUCUUUUUUAAAUCUUGUUUCUUUUAUAAUAUUUUUUUUUAUCUUCUAUUUUGAUCUUGAUUAAUGUCAUUAAUAAAAAGCAUCAAUCCCUUUUCUUAUAUUUGCAAGAUUUUUGUUGACUUCUAUGUACAUUUAUUAAUAUUAUAUCUAUACCAAUGAAUAAGAUAUUUUAAAUUAUUUUGCUACUACCUUGAAUCUAAGACUUCUUCCAUUUCAAGUUCUUCAUUAUUAUCCACUUCUAUAGGAAGAGGUGGCAUUUAUCUUUUUUUUUGAAAUAUUCACUAUUUCAUAUUAUUUAGAAAGAAAUAUGUAGAAUAUGGGAUGAAAUCUCAUAGACUUUGGUAGAUAUAACCAAUAAGCAACAUGAUUGGUUCUUUUACAAAUAGGAAAUGGUCUAAACUUAAGGUAAUCCAACUAGUUAGAAGAAUGUCUAGUCUUAAUAUUGUGAUGAAGCAAUCAUAUCUUAUUAAUAACAUAGAAUUGAAGUUGUUCUUUGUGAUAGGCAUCCACAUUGGUCCUUUAUUAUUUAUGAGCUUUUUAUGGUUGUAGCUUCAUUAUUAUAUGUAGCUCAGAUAAAUGAUUCAUCAAAUCUUUUGUUGCGGGAUUAUUAACUUUUGAGAAGUCAAAAACAUCAAAUUAUAGAUGAUAACCAUAAUUAAUAAAAGAAAAGUAUUUAUUGUAUAGAAGAAUGUAUUAUGUUGUUAUAAAAGAAAUUUACCAAUGUCAAAAGAAUUGUCUAAUCAUCUUGUUGGUAGUUGAUAGUAUAUCUUAAACAUAGUUCUAAAACGUCUUUAAUGUAUUCCAUUUGUCUAUAAAUUUGAAAAUAAAAGAUUGAAAUAACUUCAUGUCUAUUUCUAAAAUCUUAAAAAGAGGUUUCCAAAAUCUUGAUAUAAAUUGAGUCUUUCUAACUAAUAUAAUAUCUUUGAGAUCUCCUCAAAAGUAUUAAAUUUUAUCAAGAAAAAUAAUUUUAUUUCUUUACUUGUGCUAGAUUUUCUUAUUUGGUAUAAAAUACACCAGCUUGAUCAAAUGAUCUACUAUCUCAAAUGUGGAAUCAUAUAAAUAUCAGACAAGGGAUAAAAUGUAUAGAAAAAAAAGACCAUGGUUGUUUUGAAAUGUGUAAUGGCUGAAGAAGUCGAUAAGAAUGAUGACAAGAGAUGUUUGAUCUUGAACAAAUGUCGCAUGAUUGUUCAAAGUCUUUGAAUACCUCCUACAUUUGAAGCUACCAAAAAUCUUUAGAUAUUUGGUCCAAAGUUUUGUUCUAUCUAAAAUAAAAAUAUGUUCUAAUGGACUUAGUGACAAUUCAAAAUAUGUACUGACAUGAAGUACUUGAGGUUCUUAUGAUUUGUAUAUAUGAUAAUUGAACUAGAAGCACUUUUUAAAUAAUGAAGCUAUUCUUAAAAUGAUUCCUUGAUUGCAAGAAGUACUUUUUUGUAGAUCUUAUAGUUAAUCUCAACUGUUGAAAAUUUCUUGAAAUGAAAAGCUUCCAAGUAGAGCUUGUCAUCUCUUCCUAUUUGUGACAAAAUAACACCUAUAGCAAAAUCUAAUGCAUUUAUUUUUAUAAGAAAUACCUUGAAAUAAUCAAUGUGAUAUAAGAUUGAUACAAAAAUAAAUGUUGUUUUCAAGACCCUAAAACUGGUACACAUUGAUAGUUCCUUGAGAUUUGAUUGCAUCACCUUCAAGCUUGCAGUGGCUUAGUCUUCCGAGGAAUGCUCAAACUUCUAAUGAUCCAAUGGAGAUCUUUGGUACAUCAAUGGAGUGCAAAGAAGCUUUCUAGGCAUUUAUAAGUUAAAGUCUUGUUGGUGUGUUUAGCAAGUGCCGAAUGAAGAUUCACCAUUACAAAUACAAGGUUAUCUGUAUCCAUUGUGUCACUUCUCCAAAAUAGAUCUAUAUAUUUUCUAAUUGGAUUUUUAACUUCAUUGUUACUCGAAAAGGCUGGAACUUCUUCCUUUCGUUUAGGAUUUAGGAAUUUUGUUGAAUCGUCUACUUAUUAUGAUCAAAUCCAUUUAAAAUUAGCUCUUAGUUUGUUGAGUUGCUUAGAUUACCUUGGAAAAGAGUUUGAUGUAUGAGUACUUGCAACUGUUGAUAAUGCAGUUAUUGAUGUCAUGUUUCAUGUUGCAGAGUAGAGAGCUUGAGUAUAAUACAAAGAGAGAGCCUUUAGUACUAGAGAUGUUCUCUAUUCUACAUUUUUUGAUCAAAAUAUUCCUCGAUAAAUUGGGACUUCAAUAUAAAGAUUCAAAUAUCUGAUAAAGUUAUGUAAUCUUUUGUAUUUAAAUUUAUAGCAGCAAUAACAAACAAUGGUUGGUAUAGAUAUCUACCUGAUUUAGUAGAAGUCCACUUUUCAAACUAACAUCUAUGUAAUACUUAAGUGAUACUCUUUGAAUACUUUGUUGAUACCUAGCCUAUUAUAAACUAGUGAAGGUUGCCUCUAUUGACAAUUACUGAUAAUCAUAAUGUUAUCUGACUCGAUCAGUUGUUUUUUAUAAAAAUCAUCUAAUUUUAGGAAACACUAUGCAGUGAGAUUCAAAGAUGGAGUGACUAACUAGCCAUUGAAGAAAAACUUGGGAAUUUACAUAUAAAAUGCAUUAGUAUAAUGAAUCUCAUUCCAUGAAACGUAGCUCUCAAGUGUCACACAUGUUGAUUGCUCUUAGUGGCAUGAUCUAAUGUUGUCACAUAUAAAGGUUGAGUUGUAGUUGUAGGAUCCUCUAGAAGUAGAACAUGCCUAUAGAGUGUUGGUAAACUUUGCCAAAAAAAUAUCAUUAUGAAGUUGCCUCUAGAUAAUUUGAUUUAUGAGAGUAUUGUAUCAAACUUAUUAUAGUUCACCUAGUUGGUAAAGGACUAAAUGUUGGCAUUAUAGUUAUCCAUGAAGAAGAUCUUCAUGCCAUCGCUACCAAAGCUUAUUCGUAGGUCCUUAUAUACCUAUUGCAAAGCAUCACCAUAAGUGCGAUUGAUGGCAUUGAUGUCAUCCUCGCACAAGUGCGUGUCCUUAGUCUAGUUGAAAAAUUAUAUCAAAUAUACCAAGUUACAACUUUUUGGCAAUAUGUUGCCAAUGAAGAAGAGCUGUGCACCAAAAUCAUGAAGCGUCUAAAAAAGUAGGUCAUUAAUUACAUCCACAACACAAAUAUCAAAUAUAAUCUCAAAUAGACACAAGAGAUAGGAUUUGACUUACGGUGAUGGGCGCCUUGAUUACAACAACAACAGCUGAAACAAAUGAGGCAAUAACUACCAGCCACGGCAUGUUCAGCACAUUUGUGAUGACAAGCAAGUCAAUGCCUCCAAUUUCAAGAAUAUGAUAUAUACCAUUGCUGUACGUAUUCUACAGUAGUUGAUACGGACCUUUUGCUGCACAUAUAAAUUCUAUCCAAAUCAACCUAGACUUUUCAAUACUAGAGAUAUUUUCUAAGUACAAUUCAAGUUUCUUGAUACCUUCAUCUGUACUCUAACAAUAAACUCUAUUUUACAGAUGUAGCAUAGAUUUAUCACAUGGGUAUAGAGAAUAUCACAAAUCUAUUGAAAAGAGCUCAUUUGGCUUUAAGAAAAUUACCAAUUAUUUGAAAAGAAUCUUCCAUGAAUACAUGCUUCAAAAACAUUGCUUCAUUAUUGGGAUUCUAUGAUAGUUAUUCAUUAUUUAGAUAGUUUGUUGUAAACAUUGGCAGUCUCUAAACAUGAAGAUGUAGAAUAUUUCAAAUCCAUUUUAAAUCUCAAAUUCAAGCAUAAACUUGCCUAUGAUGAAUAUUAAUCCUCAUGAAUGGAGAUGGUUAUCCAAUGCUUAUAGUGUGGGAGAUAAAACCUUGUAUUGAGUGCCUUACUUUUGAAAUUGAGAAAAUUAUCAACGUAUAAGUUGAGGUAGAUCGGUGUCAUGAUUGUGGUGGCCUUUGCAAUCACAUGAGCAUAGGCAAAGUUGGCACUAUGCAUAUCUAGAAUGCUUUAGGGCACUUGAAUUUCUUACUUGCCGUGCUUGCAAUUGGCACCAUGAGCAUCAAAUUUAGCAAUAGUACCAAUUCAACCAUUGCCAAAGCCAUCUUCACUAUAAAAUUCAUGUCGCUAUUAAUGAAUAAGAUUAAUAGUAUAUACACUACAAAUCAUGCCUCUGUCGAUGAAAUUGAGAAUGCUAAUCAGACCUCUAUCAAAGAUUCAAAAGCAACUUUUGCUUCUUGAUUCCAUUGGAGUUCGUAUUUACAAGUCAAACGUAUAAGUGGAGCUUCAACUCGAGAGUAGUCUUUGAUGAAGAUCCGAUAGUAGUUGGCAAAUCCUUAAAAACAUUGGACAUCUCUUACCAUUUUUGGGAUCGUCUAAUAUAUAAUAGUUUCAACUUUCUUAGGAUCCAUAAUAAGUCCACCAUUUGAAAUGAUGUAACCUAAGAAAUUGACUUGAGUAGUAUGGAAUACACACUUUUCUAUCUUGGCAUAGAGUCCUUCAUCUCUUAAUUUUUGUAAUACACGACAAACAUGAAGUUCAUGUUCUUCUGGAUUCUUAGAAUAGAUCAAGAUGUCAUCUAGAUAAUAGACCACAAAAUCGUCCAAAAAUUCUUGAAAAACAUCAUUUAUUAGAUAUUAAAAAGCUGCUGGUGCAUUUGUUAGUCCAAAAGGCAUGACGUUGUAUUCAAAAUGUCCAUACCGAGUUCGAAACAUAGUCUUCCAUUCAUUUCCUUCUUUGAUGCGUACUAGAUUGUAUGCUCCUCGGAGAUCUAUUUUUGUAUACAUCUUAGCUUGAUUCAGCUAAUCAAGAAGUCUAGAUAUUAAAAGUAGUGGAUACCUGUUCUUAAUAGUAAUCUUGUUGAGUCCUCGAUAAUCAACACACAUCUGCAAUGAUCUAUCUUUUUUCUUCACAAAUAGAAUUAGAGCUCUUGUGGGAGAUUUAGAAUGGCGUAUGAAAUUCUUGGCUAGAUUUUCUUCAAUAUACUCCUUGAGUUCAGUCAACUUAUUUUGUGAUAAACUGUAGAUUGGUCCGAAUGGCGGUUGUGCUCCUUCUUAAAGGUCAAUUGAGCAAUUAUAGAGACGAUGUUCCGGGAGUGUAUCUGCAUUCUUUUUUUUUAAUACAUCUUAAAAUUCUUGAUAUUGGCUUGAAAUGCCACUUGAAGACUUUCCACCAGUAGGAACAAGUGUGGCAUAGAUAAUAUAUGGUGAUUCUUUUAUAGCAGCAUGCAAGAAAGCUUUUGUACCUAUAAAUACGGAUUUAAUUGAACUGGACUUAUGACUCUCUACUUGAUUAAUCUCACUAUUAGUUAUACUUUUAGAGAAAGUAAGAAUUCGGAAAAUCCAAUCUAUUUGAGGGUUGUAUUUUUCUAACCACGAUAAAUCUAAAAUGAUUGGAUUAGAGAGAAAUCUAAUGAUAUUAAAUACUACAAAGCUAUUAUGACCAUUGAUUAUUACUUCUAUAAGAAGGAUUUCGUGAGUAAUAUCUCCAAAAGACAAUGAACGACCAUCUAUGACUUCUACAUGAACAGGUUUAGUUUUCUUUACUAAAGAUAUGCUAUGUCUUUUAGUAAAUUCUUCAUCUAAAAGACACGAUGAGGCUCCCGAAUCUAACAAGCCAGAGACUUUGUAAUGUUUAGGUCCUAAAAUAAUAUUUAAUGUAAAACAAGGAGAGGGCUCUGAAGAGAGAAUAGGACUCUUACUAGAUGUUGUGCAAGGUUCCAGCCGCAUGGUCCCUAUUGUAGUUGGACAAAUUCGUUUUCUGACAUAUUGUCUUCUUUUACAGCCAUACUCUUCAUUUUUUGAUUACGUCGUAUCUUUGGACAAUGUUGAGCAGUGUGCUUUGAUUCUCCACAAUAUAAACAUAAACUUUCUUCACGACGAUGAGUCUUUUCUCGCUCAGUAAGAGAUUUGAAACGUACUGCAUCAAUUUGCAUAUCCUCUACUUUCGAAUGUAUGUGAUGAAGAAGUAUUGGUGUUACCAUUGAAUUAUAGUAACAUUGAGGUCGAUUCUCAGAUCGGAAUUCAAAAAGAUGAUUGUCGCACUUCAUAACAAAGUCAAUUCCUUGACUCAAUGUUUGAAGAUCAGGUAAGUUGAGCAUUAAUUUUUUUACCUCAUAUUAUAAUCCGUAGAAAAAUUGGCUAAUAAGUGCAGCAUCAUCCCACUUGAUAUCAGUUGCAAGUUGUCAAAAUUAUAAAGCGUACAACGUUACUGAUUGAUUGUUUUUUCAUAAAAUACGAAUCUUAUUGGUUGCAAUACGAAUUGCAUCAUGUUCUCCAUACAUGGAUUGAAACUCCGCCAAAAAAGCCUCUAGAUUAUCUAAUAUUGGAUCUCAUCAUUCAAAAACAAAUAAAAACCACGAUAGUGCUGAACUUGAAAGAAGCGUACCUAUGAAUCUAACUUGCGAUCCUGGAGUUGGAUAGCUUUAGGAUUGAAGUUCAAUCACAAGUUGAACUUGAUUGAUAAAUCCUCGAAACUUAGAUCUGGUGCCAUCAAACUUCUCGAGUAGGGCAAUUCUUGGUUCUCUAACACUUGAAAGACGUUCCAUCAUAGGAGAAAAGACAUGAUUUAGUAGAGUUGUUGAAGUAGCUACAACCAUUUCUAUAUCUUCACUUCCUGCCAAUCUUAUUGCUCCUUGUGGUGGUAAAUUGAAUUGAUGCAUUGCAAGCAUUAAUUCUCUCAAUUGCUCUUGCAUUUGUGCCAUUGCACUCUUCAUUUCAACAAGUUCUGUUAUGAUAACACUUAGAAAAGAGAAGAUGACUAAUAUCGCUCAAGACAAAUAGAAGAGAGGACUUGAGAACAAAGAAAAUACUAAAGACAAUAUCAGUUUAAAAGAGGGUAAUCCGCAACUUCUAAUGUGCUAAUAUCUUAUCAAGAAAAAGAGGUAAUCCACUCUUAAUCAAGAUUAGACAAAGCUCUGAUAUUGUAGGUGUACUCUUGUCAAACAGUCAAGGACAAGAAUUCGACAAAAAAACAAUCCAGACAAGUGAGCCUUCACUCAAAGAAAGGUAACAAAAUAUAAAUAAAUUAGUAUGUAUAUUGCAAGAAAAACUAGAAUGGCUAUUGCCAAAAGACAAGAAAACUAGAGACCCUUGAAACUAGAUUAGAAGCAAGAAAGGACAAAAGUGAAGAAGGCUUCACUCUUAUCUCUAAAUAUACUAUCUAACUAGGGGCUACGUAGCGACAUUCUACAGGACAUCAAAUAUGUGUUGACUUUGUAGGACACAUGCCUUGACUUACAAGGCAAGUUUUUCUACGUGUGAGCCACAUAGUUAGCUUGAUCUUCAAGCUAACAACAUGUGUGGCACAUGGCCAACUUGUUCACGACAUUUCUAAUCCAAAAAGUCAAUUAAAGACACCUAUGAAGUCAAAGCAGCAUCUAUAAAGCUUCUAAGAAGCUUCCAUAUUAAAUAUUAUAGAAAUAACUUACUUUUACCUACCUGUAUAUGUAAUUAUUAGCUUAUAUGAGUAUGUCCGUGACAUGAGGUCACUCUAUUUCUUGCUGGAUUAGUGGCAUAACAAAAUGAUAACUAUUUUCAAUUGGAUUUGUCAAUGCUUGUGGUAUAGUUUGGUAUUAUAUAGCCAUAACAAAGGUUGCACAAAUAAUUAUCUCAUGGAUUGAUGCCGACAUGAUGCCAUGAUUAACAAUGUUUUUUUUUUUUUAUCAAUGUUUGAUAAAUAUCUACAAUAUUAGUAAGUUGGAUUAUAUGCUAUGGCUUGUCUUACAUGUCUACAUGUCGAGGAGCCAUAAUCAUUGUUGCAAUUUGAAGAUUGCUUCAUAAUCAAAAGCAUAAAAAAAAAAACUAUAUUGAUUAAGACUAGAAAUAUAUGAUGUAUUAAAUAUCUUAUGCUUAGUUAUUUAUUUAUAUAUAGAAAAGAUAAUAUAAGUAGUAUGAAUCACAUAAUUGACUCACUUGUGUAGUUAUUUCAAAAGUUAUAAAUCUUGUAAACUGGCUCUGGAGUUUAUAGAGUAUGAAAUUUGAAUAGUAUUUCAAAACUUGAUUAAUUUCAAUAAUGUAUAGUAUUGCUUGAAUGUACUUCAAGGCAAUGGAUUUAUAAAUAUAUAUAUAUAUAUAUAUAUAUAUAUAUAGAUAAAGACUAUGAACUUAUAUAUAAUACAAACUAAUAUUUCUUGAAUUUACUAUUUCUUUGAUAAAGUGAUGAUAUACUUCAAUGUGCUUUGUUCUUGCAUAGAAUAUAAGGUCCUUAGCUAACUUCAUUAGUGAUUGAUUGUUCCAAACUAGCAUAAAAUUAUCUUGAAUUUUUUACAUAAGUUUUUUGUUGUUGCUAUUGUUAAGUGAGAGCAUCAACAAUAAAGAUUGUAUGACUCCUAUUCUAAUAGGUAAUCUUCUUAACCAAAUGGCUUUUGGAAUUCUAAUAGAUAGACUUACAUAUUCAAAUUCAAUUGAAGAUUUUACUAUUGUUUGGUGUUUUUUAUUUUUUUAAGUAAUUACUAUUCUAACAAUAAUAAAAUAUUAACAUCCUAUAGAUCUUUGUAUUUUGAGGUAUAAUCAACAUCAAUGUAAAUUUAUACAUAGCUAUUUUGAUUUAUAGUAAAGUUCAAAAUCAAAAGUUCCUUUGAUGUAUCUUACUACAUGUUUAGGAUUUAGGAUUUAAGCUUAUAUGUUUGUUCUCAAAACAUUGGCAUAUUUUUUUUGAAAUUUUGAAUUAAUCUACUUCCUCUAUUUUCAAGAGUUGUGAUUUCAAUGUUGGAAUUAACUUUACUUAUGCUUCUUUCAUUUGAUAGAUAUAAAUACUUAAGAUUCAAAGUUUAGGAUUUGAAGUUUAGAAUUUAGGAUUAUAAGGGUGUCUUUGUUCUUGGGCAUCAAUAUUUUUAGAUUUUGACUUGACUUACCUCUCCAUUUAUAAUAUCUAGGAUUUCAAUGGUGUAAUUAUUGUCAUAGGUAUACAUACAUAUUCUAUUAAAUACCUAUAUGAUAAGAUAGAAAUAAGUAAAAGUAAAUAAAAAUAAAUUAAUUUCAUAAUACCUUUUAGAGAAGCUUUUUAGAAGCUUCAUAGACAUUGCUUUGACUUUACAUGUAUUUGUAGUUGAUUGAUAGGUUAGAAACUUAAACAACAAGUUAACCGCAUAUUGAUAGCUUGCAAAAUAAGCUAAGUAUGUGACAUGCAUAUAAAAAACUUGCUUUGCAAGUUAAGAUGCAUGUCUUACAAAGUCAACAUAUUUUAGAGGUGUUAUGGGACAUUGCUACAUAGUUCCUAGUUAAAAGUAUAUAUAGAGGUAAGAAUAAAGCCUUCUUUACUCUUAUCAAUGCCCUUUUAGUCUUUAGUCUUGUUUCAAGACUUUCUAGUCUUUUUGUUUUUGGCAAUAGUCAUUCUAAUUGAAUAUUAUAUCAUCUUUGAGUGACUUUCUAAUUCUUUUUAGUGACAUAAGAGUGUAUUGAGGAUUUCUUUCUUCAAGAUUCAUAUCUUUGACAAAUAAUUUCUUCCACAUGUUCAUAGUUUGGAAAAUAUAUCUACUUUGAUUUGGACUUUAAGAUUUAGAUUUUUGUCAUACAAGGAUUUUUGAAAUUUUUGAAAAAUCUAUUAGAGUCAAUUGGAGGUCGUCUAUUCUAAAUAUGUACUUGAAGUUUUUUAAAAGUGUAUAUAUUUGUAGAUAUUAAGUAUUUGACCAUUUUGACUAGUGAGUUGAUUUUACAUAUGAAUAAAUAUUUUUAAAUUUUGAUUUGACCUGUCUUCUUAUUUUAAGGGUCUAAAAAUCUAAUGAUGGACUUGAAAUCCUAUACAUAUUUUUUAAUUUUGAAAUAUAAGGCAUUUGACUUGAUGUAAUUUUAAGUCCAUCUUUUUUGUACUUUGUCUUUUGAAAGUUUUGAUUUGACCUACCUCUCUAUUUAUUACGCUUUUGAUUCUAAUGAUAUAUUUAAUAUCUUUAACAAGUUUGUAAUUUAAGAAAUAUGAUGUUUUUAAAAUAAAAUAAAAAAAUUCCUUUAAUUAAUAUAUGAAAAAAAAUUAAAAAUAUAUAAUAAAUAUAUAGAAGCUUUUGGAUACUACAAUAAUAUAUUGAAUAGAAUAUGUAAAUAUAUGUCAUUUUUUUUACAAGAUAUUAUAUUUAUAUUAAUUUCUAAAUACAUAAUACAUAUAUAUAUAUAUAUAUAUAUAUAUAUAUAUAUGUAUUUUAAAAUUAUAUUAUCUAUGUUUUAAGGAUUUACAGUUUAGAAUAUUAGGAUUUAAGAUUUAAGAUUAAAUGAAUAUUUUCUAAAAAUGAAUACAUUUUUUUAGAGAUUUUGAAUUGAGUUACUUUUCCAUUUUCAAGGGUUGUAGUUCCAAUGGUGCAAUUAACUUUACUUAUAGUUCUUUAUUUGGUAGAUAUAGGUUCUUCAACCUUUAAAGAUAGAAGUGAUUUUUGAAGAUAGAUUUGACUUUUUUUUAUUGAUGAUGAACUUCAACAUUUUGAAGUUACCUACCUUCAUAUUUUAAAAUAUCAUGAAUCUAAUAGUAUACUUAGUUUUUCCAAAAAGUAUAUGAUUUGGAUAAUAUGGAGGUUUUGAAAAUAAAAUUUAGAAUUGAUAAUUUCUUAUAUUUUUAGAAUUUUGAAAUUUGAAGGUGACUUAUUCUUUCAUUUUUGAUAGUGGUGAUUUCAAUGGUAUAAAAACAUUUACUUAUGCUAUUUCCAUUUGAAAGAUAUGAAGAAUUUGACUUUUUAGGAUUUAAGAUUGACUAUGGAAUCUUAGGAUUUAGGAUUUAGGAUUUAUAAUAAUAAAAUUAUAAUUUAACAUAUACUUGAUAUAUACCAUUGUAAUUGCCUUGAAAAAUUAAUUACAAUAGAGUCAAGGUUUAGGAGUUUAGGAUUUUUAGGAUUUAGGAUUUAGGAUUUAGGAUUAAAAAUGUAUGCCCAUUUAUAAGGUUUAGGAUUUAGGAUUACAAGGAUGUACCUGGAUUUACUAACCUCCUUAUUCUUGGAUUUUGAGUUGACAUAUUACUCUAUUUUUGAGAUCUACAAUUCCAAUAGUACAAACAACUUGCUCUACCAAUUUUUAAUUUAUAAGAUAUAAAGAGGUUUGACUUUGCCUCUAAGAUAGUUGACUUUUGUGAUAUAAGGUGCAUUUGAAAGUUUUGAAAAAGACAUUGGAUCGAUUUGAGGGCUAAUAAUUAUAAACAUGUGAAUAAAUUAUUGUGGAUGUGUAUAAAUAGGAUAAUAUUAGAUAUUUAGUAUUCAAGGUAUUUGAGUUGAUGUAUGCAAUUGAAGAAGAAUAUUUCAGGAUUUAAUUUGACCUGCUUCUUUAUUUAUAGGAUCUACCUAUUAUGUAGUGUGAAUAACUUGCUCUAUAGUUUCUCAAUAUUAAGAUAUAAGGCGUUGCAUUUGAUAUGGAUUUGAGGAUUGACUUUUUGUGUGUUUUCUAUUUUGGAGAUUUUAAACGGAUGUGCCUCUGUGUUUGUCAUGCUUUUGAUUCCAACGACAUAUUUGAAACCUUCAUUGGAUCUACGGUUGAAGAGACACAAGGUUAUAAAAAGUAUGAGUGUCAAAUGGGAUUUAAGGGGAUUCAAGUUCUACAAGCAUGAGUAUGAACGAGAUUUAGGAUUGAAGGUCUACAAGUGCUAAUGUAAAUGGGAUUUAAAGGAGUUUAAGGUCUAUAAGAACGAGUGUAAAUCAAAUUUAAGAAAAUUUAAGGUCUAUAAAUACAAAUGUGAAUGGAGUUUAAGGAGAUUUAAGGUCUACAAAUGUGAGUAUAAAUGGGAUUUAAGUAGAUUCAAGGUCUACAAGUAUAAGUGUGAAUGGAAUUUUAGAGAUUUAGGGUAUAUUAAAUCAAGUGUGAAUGGAAUUUAAGGAAUUGAGGGUCUAUCAAUGUGAGCAUGAAUAGGAUUUAAAGAAUUAAGGGUCCAUAAAUACAAGAGUGAACGAGGUGCAGUAUAGAAUUGAAGAUGUAUUAUUACAAGUAUAAAUGGAGUGUGGUUAAGAUUGAGGUUCUAUUAGUGCAAGUAUAAAUGGGAUACAGUUCAAGAUCUACAAAUGUGAGUGUGAACAUGAUUUAAUGGAUUGAGGGUUUACAAGUGUGGAAGUAAAUAGGAUAUAAGAAAUUUAGGGCCUACUAGUACAAGUCAAAUCAAGGUUUAAGGUUGAGAGUCUACCAACAUGAGUGUGAAUAAGGUUUAGGAUUGAAGAUCUACCAAUGCAAGUGUAAGAACUUUAGUAUCUACUAGUGGGAAUGUAAACAAGAUUUAGAGUUGAAGGUCUAUUGCCAUAGGUAUAAACGAGAUUUAAAGAGGUUUAAGGUCUACAAAUGCAAGUGUAAAUGGGCUUUAAGGAAUUUUUGGAUGUACAAGUAUGAAUGUGAAUCAAGCUUAGGGUCCAAAGUAUAUGACUAAAGUUUGGAAAUUACAAGUGUGACUAAGGGUUUAAGAUUUAAGAUCUAUAAGUACAAGUGUAAACGGACUUAAAGGAUUUAAGGCCCAAAAAUAAAAUCUA
This 21342-nucleotide long non-coding RNA is filed under the name Physcomitrium patens. RNAcentral describes it as "long non-coding RNA (PPAT_LNC014677)". The record is from RNAcentral. Lineage: Eukaryota; Viridiplantae; Streptophyta; Bryopsida; Funariales; Funariaceae.